RNAcentral lists this ribosomal RNA (419 nucleotides) under uncultured Cortinariaceae. RNAcentral's name for it is "eukaryotic LSU rRNA". The stretch from base 107 to 263 matches the Rfam family "5.8S ribosomal RNA". The record is from RNAcentral. Lineage: Eukaryota; Fungi; Basidiomycota; Agaricomycetes; Agaricales; Cortinariaceae.
UUUUUAUGUCUCCACCUGUGCACCUUUUGUAGACCUUUCCAGGUCUNUGUUGCUUCNUUUACCCCUAAUGNAUGUUAANAAAAUGUUGUGCCUGUAUAAUACAUACAACUUUCANCAACGGAUCUCUUGGCUCUCGCAUCAAUGAAUAACGCAGCGAAAUGCUGAUAAGUAUAUGUGAAUUGCAGAAUUCAUGUGAAUCAUCUAAUCUUUGAACGCACCUUGCGCUCCUUGGUAUUCCGAGGAGCAUGCCUGUUUGAUUGUCAUUAAUAUAUCAACACUUCUCUUCUUUUGUAGUAGAGUGGUUUUGGAUGUGGGGGCUUGCUGGGCCUUCUUGANAAAGUUCAGCUCCCCUGANAUGCAUUUAGCAUUAACACACUUCUGUUCAUUGGUGUGAUAACUAUCUACCCUAUUGAACAUGA